RNAcentral lists this ribosomal RNA (279 nucleotides) under uncultured Hydrogenophaga sp. RNAcentral's name for it is "partial 16S ribosomal RNA". It matches the Rfam family "Bacterial small subunit ribosomal RNA", at positions 8 to 292 of the family's 1533-position model. The record is from RNAcentral. Lineage: Bacteria; Pseudomonadati; Pseudomonadota; Betaproteobacteria; Burkholderiales; Comamonadaceae.
AGAGUUUGAUCCUGGCUCAGAUUGAACGCUGGCGGCAUGCUUUACACAUGCAAGUCGAACGGUAACAGGCCGCAAGGUGCUGACGAGUGGCGAACGGGUGAGUAAUGCAUCGGAACGUGCCCAGUCGUGGGGGAUAACGCAGCGAAAGCGUGCUAAUACCGCAUACGAUCUAUGGAUGAAAGCGGGGGACCGUAAGGCCUCGCGCGAUUGGAGCGGCCGAUGUCAGAUUAGGUAGUUGGUGGGGUAGAGGCCCACCAAGCCAACGAUCUGUAGCUGGUC